Molecule: long non-coding RNA, 360 nt
Filed under: Homo sapiens (human)
Lineage: Eukaryota; Metazoa; Chordata; Mammalia; Primates; Hominidae
Description: non-protein coding lnc-LPGAT1-3:1
Source: RNAcentral
UACAUUGUAAUGGAAUAUUGUGAAGGAGGGGAUCUGGCUAGUGUAAUUACAAAGGGAACCAAGGAAAGCAAUACUUAGAUGAAGAGUUUGUUCUUCGAGUGAUGACUCAGUUGACUCUGGCCCUGAAGGAAUGCCACAGACGAAGUGAUGGUGGUCAUACCGUAUUGCAUCGGGAUCUGAAACCAGCCAAUGUUUUCCUGGAUGGCAAGCAAAACGUCAAGCUUGGAGACUUUGGGCUAGCUAGAAUAUUAAACCAUGACACGAGUUUUGCAAAAACAUUUGUUGGCACACCUUAUUACAUGUCUCCGAACAAAUGAAUCGCAUGUCCUACAAUGAGAAAUCAGAUAUCUGGUCAUUGGG